GCGGACCCUGGGGUGAGGGGAGAUGAGGUCGCGGUCACCUUCCGUUCUAUGGUAAAAUGAGGAUUGCUGACUGCCUGGUGUGUCUCUGGCGCGGAGGUGGAAAGUUUACGGUUCGAAGUCCCUUCCGUUUUUGAGCCUUUAGACACUGUGCAGUGUGUAUACAUAGUGUUGUUUCACGUUGUUUUCGUGAAUGAAACGGGAAUGGAAAAAAAGAAAGUUUGCCAGAGUUGUGUUCUGCUGAAGCAUGAAACCGGACAAGGAACUGUCCACUGCGUGAAUACCAAGUAAAAGACAAACUGCACUCCUUCCAGGGGGUUUGAGUGGGCCACCCAUGAUGCCCAGAGAAAGCAGCUGAGAAAGACUUUCUUUGGUCAUGACUCAGCCUGACACCGAGGCUUCUUCCAGCCCGAUCUCUGCUGAAGUCCUAAGAGGAUGAAGACUUUCUUCCCAAGGGAUACAGAGGGGAAAAAAAAGAGAUCUGGGACAAGAAAGUCAGACACAUAAGUCAGAACGGGAUGUCACAGUGAGGUGGAAAAUCUGAGACCUGAGGGUCCCAAGAUAACAAGCCAGGCCGGGGGGAGCCCCGUCCACUGUGCGCUGGGGUGGUGCCCUUCACAGUCUGCCAAGCUGUCCCUCCUGGCCGGGAUUGCCAGCUAUAUUGUAGGCUGUGCAUGUAUUAUCCACGUACUGACUAAUAAAAUGCUAAAUAGCCUGCCUGAGAAAAAUACACCUCGUGGACAAAGUAGGAUGAAGUCAUUUCAACCAUAAAUGCCAAGAGAACCGAACAUUUGGUCAGUUGGAGAUUUUAUAAGAAGGUUCAUAUUUAAAUUCCUUCCUUCAAUAGGAAAUAAACAUUAAUAAUAACGAUUGGGAAAUUUUCUCUUUUUCUGUUUUGGGAAAGCAGAGUAUAUGGGUAACUACACAUACCUCAAAUUCUUAAAGUUAUACAUUACUUAGAUUUAAAAUACCCCAAACUCCCAAGUUCAACCUCUAACCUUCUGGGUCGUUGGCUCCAGGGAGCCUGCUACCCUCCUUUUCGACUGUUUCAUGGUCAUGGAGGAAGAGACCUGGCAUUAGUCAGCAGUUUCUGAAUUUUGACCCACAAUAGGAAAGAUACCUUGAGACAGGAGAAAUAGAUGGAGGCAAUUACAAACAGCCACUUGAUUGAUGGUUGACAUUGUCAGGGCUCCACUGUAUGGCAGCUUGCAAUGGUGUUGAACUCCCCUUGCUACCAGUGGAUGUUGCUAUUGGCAACCGUGCAGUGAAGCCAAUAAAAAGGCAAGAAAAUGAGAGGAAAACUCAACCUUAGUGGAAGCCGUAGGGUUUCUGCUAUAAAUUACAUUCCCCUUAGCAAUAUGCAGCAUCAACAUUCAGGGUAGCCACAGUGCAUGUAGCUGUCUGCAGUCUCCAUUGGACUCUGGGUCUAGUUUUAUCAUAAAGCACAUGCUUUAAAAUUUUGCUCUAGAUACACUGGCAUUCAUCUUUCUGGGCUAUUUAUUUAUUUAUCAUUGGGGAGGACGACAGAUGUGGGUUCAUCGCUGCCUCACAUGGACUGAUUUUCAGUUCCCACUUGUAAUACGAACAUGAUGUGACGCGACAGCUGGAAACACCUGCAGUCCUUCUAGCUGCAGACCCACAACCAGGGUCUGGCCCUGCCUCCACCCACCCUUUUUCCUCACCUGAAGGAGGGAGACAGCCCAGCAGAAGCUAUUUUCCUUUAUAGCUGAGUGACUUGGAAAACUGGCUUAAUAAAAUCCAUAAAUCUGAACAACCUCCUCUCACCUGCUCUGCAGAGGCAAUUUUUCCUGCACUUAUUUUCUCCUCGAGUUUCUCCAGUCUUUCCCACAGAGACAGUGGUAGAGGGUUAGCUGGGAACAUUAUUUUUUAGGGUUCCCACUCCUUCCUUCUCUCUUUUGUCAAUCCACUCCCUACUCAAGUAUCUCUCUUUUCUAAGCAAUUGAUGACAGGAUGUACCUUCAUUUUUUUUUGAUAACAAGUGCCAUUUUUCCUUGUUUGGAUUAAUGUUCACCUUCCCUUUGGCCAUCUCUUACCACCUGCAUUGGGCCCUAUAUUUUCCUUGUUAGUCAUUUUCUUUUGGUUCUCCUCCUUUCCCUCCUCCUCUUCCCCCAUUUGCCUGGUUUAUAAUUUUCUUUUCCUCCAUUUCUGGUCAUGUAGAAUCUUUCUUCUGCCUCAUGGUUACCUUGCUCUUCCCUUACUUCUGUUUUGGUUCCUUAAUUUACUCAUUCUUUAAACAUUCCCCCAAUGUCUACUAUGUGCCAGGAAGACAAUGUCCUUGGUGGAACUUGGCCCCUCUUUCUCUGAGUAAAGUUAAUAACUGACACUGACCAGCAACAACAAGAACAGAAGUGGUUUUAAAUUUUAGAAUUUUUUGGAACUGGAAUGGGCUUCAAGGUUCAUCUGGUCCAGAGAUUUCGAAUUCCUCAGAGGCCCUUUAUGGGCCACUGGGUAUGUAAUCAAA
Bubalus bubalis (water buffalo) is the source of this 2479-nucleotide long non-coding RNA. RefSeq lists it as uncharacterized. The record is from RefSeq and is a predicted model, not a curated record. The transcript has 4 exons. Lineage: Eukaryota; Metazoa; Chordata; Mammalia; Artiodactyla; Bovidae.